This is a ribosomal RNA of 624 nucleotides. It matches the Rfam family "Bacterial small subunit ribosomal RNA", at positions 9 to 1003 of the family's 1533-position model.
CAAAGGCAUGGUCCCGACCUUACUAUCAGCUCUAGCCCGACUUACACAUGCAAGUCUCCGAACCCCGUGAGUAAGCCCCUUAAUCCCCUGCCCGGGGACGAGGAGUAGGCAUCAGGCACAAAUCUUUAGCCCAAGACGCCAGGCCGAGCCACACCCCCAAGGGAAUUCAGCAGUGAUAAAUAUUAAGCCAUAAGUAAAAACUUGACUCAAUUAGCGCUAAGUAGGGCCGGUAAAACUCGUGCCAGCCACCGCGGUUAAACGAGAGGCCCAAGUUGAUAGUAUAACGGCGUAAAGGGUGGUUAAGGAUAAUAAAAUAAUAAAGUCGAACGGCCCUUUGGCUGUCAUACGCUUCUAGGAGUCCGAAGCCCAAUAUGCGAAAGUAGCUUUAGAAAAGCCCACCUGACCCCACGAAAGCUGAGAAACAAACUGGGAUUAGAUACCCCACUAUGCUCAGCCAUAAACCCAGAUAUCCUCCUACAAUUAGAUAUCCGCCCGGGUACUACGAGCAUUAGCUUGAAACCCAAAGGACCUGACGGUGUCUCAAACCCCCCUAGAGGAGCCUGUUCUAGAACCGAUAACCCCCGUUAAACCUCACCACUUCUAGCCAUCCCAGCCUAUAUACCG